CACUAGCGAUCCGCCGGUGGAUUUUUAGCCCUGGUGGGUAGCUUCCCGGAAACGAAAGUCUUCCGGUUCCGGGGGAAGUAUGGUUGCAAAGCUGAAACUUAAAGGAAUUGACGGAAGGGCACCACCAGGAGUGGAGCCUGCGGCUUAAUUUGACUCAACACGGGGAAACUCACCCGGCCCGGACACCGUAAGGAUUGACAGAUUGAUAGCUCUUUCAUGAUUCGGUGGUUGGUGGUGCAUGGCCGUUCUUAGUUCGUGGAUCGAUUUGUCUGGUUUAUUCCGAUAACGAGCGAGACUCUAGCCUACUAAAUAGUAACGAGAUUAUCAAUGUCUCAGUUGCUUCUUAGAGGGAUUUUCGGUGUUUAGCCGCACGAGAUUGAGCAAUAACAGGUCUGUGAUGCCCUUAGAUGUCCGGGGCUGCACGCGCGCUACACUGGCGAAAUCAGCGUGCUGUAUCCAUUCUCGAAAGGGAUUGGUAAACCCAUGAAAAUUUGCCGUGCUUGGGAUCGGAAAUUGCAAUUAUUUUCCGUGAACGAGGAAUUCCAAGUAAGUGCGAGUCAUCAACUCGCUCUGAUUACGUC
Molecule: ribosomal RNA, 581 nt
Filed under: Acrobeloides sp. TKb10
Lineage: Eukaryota; Metazoa; Nematoda; Chromadorea; Rhabditida; Cephalobidae
Also listed under: 1 other name
Description: SSU rRNA
Rfam family: Eukaryotic small subunit ribosomal RNA
Source: RNAcentral